RNAcentral lists this ribosomal RNA (468 nucleotides) under uncultured bacterium. RNAcentral's name for it is "partial 16S ribosomal RNA". It matches the Rfam family "Bacterial small subunit ribosomal RNA", at positions 28 to 507 of the family's 1533-position model. The record is from RNAcentral.
GACGAACGCUGGCGGCGUGCUUAACACAUGCAAGUCGAACGGAAAGGCCCUGCUUUUGUGGGGUGCUCGAGUGGCGAACGGGUGAGUAACACGUGAGUAACCUGCCCUUGACUUUGGGAUAACUUCAGGAAACUGGGGCUAAUACCGGAUAGGAGCUCCUGCUGCAUGGUGGGGGUUGGAAAGUUUCGGCGGUUGGGGAUGGACUCGCGGCUUAUCAGCUUGUUGGUGGGGUAGUGGCUUACCAAGGCUUUGACGGGUAGCCGGCCUGAGAGGGUGACCGGCCACAUUGGGACUGAGAUACGGCCCAGACUCCUACGGGAGGCAGCAGUGGGGAAUAUUGCACAAUGGGCGGAAGCCUGAUGCAGCAACGCCGCGUGCGGGAUGAUGGCCUUCGGGUUGUGAACCGCUUUCGCCUGUGACGAAGCGUGAGUGACGGUAAUGGGUAAAGAAGCACCGGCUAACUACGUG